UUGGAGGGCAAGUUUGGUGCCAGCAGCCGCGGUAAUUCCAGCUCCAAUAGCGUAUAUUAAAGUUGUUGCAGUUAAAAAGCUCGUAGUUGAACUUCAGACCUGACCGGGUGGUCCGCCUAACGGUGUGUACUGUCUGGCCGGGCCUUACCUCUUGGUGAGCCGGCAUGCCCUUAAUUGGGUGUGUCGGGGAACCAGGACCUUUACCUUGAGAAAAUUAGAGUGUUCAAAGCAGGCUUACGCCGGAAUACAUUAGCAUGGAAUAAUAAAAUAGGACGUGCGGUUCUUA
This 286-nucleotide ribosomal RNA is filed under the name uncultured Basidiomycota. RNAcentral's name for it is "partial 18S ribosomal RNA". It matches the Rfam family "Eukaryotic small subunit ribosomal RNA", at positions 548 to 840 of the family's 1831-position model. Lineage: Eukaryota; Fungi; Basidiomycota. The record is from RNAcentral.